UACGGAGGGUGCGAGCGUUAUCCGGAAUCACUGGGUUUAAAGGGUGCGCAGGCGGCUUGAUAAGUCAGAGGUGAAAUCUCACGGCUCAACCGUGGAACUGCCCCUGAUACUGUCAGGCUUGAAUGGGCGCGAGGCAGGCGGAAUGUGGCAUGUAGCGGUGAAAUGCUUAGAUAUGCCAUAGAACACCGAUUGCGAAGGCAGCCUGCCAGAGCCUUUAUUGACGCUGAGGCACGAAAGCGUGGGGAGCGAACAGG
RNAcentral lists this ribosomal RNA (254 nucleotides) under uncultured bacterium. RNAcentral describes it as "partial 16S ribosomal RNA". It matches the Rfam family "Bacterial small subunit ribosomal RNA", at positions 524 to 776 of the family's 1533-position model. The record is from RNAcentral.